GACGAACGCUGGCGGCGUGCUUAACACAUGCAAGUCGAACGGAGUGCCUAUGACAGAGGUUUCGGCCAAUUGAUUAGGUUACUUAGUGGCGGACUGGUGAGUAACGCGUGAGGAACCUGCCUUUCAGAGGGGGACAACAGUUGGAAACGACUGCUAAUACCGCAUGACGCAUGACUGGGGCGAUCCCGGACCAUGCCAAAGAUUUUAUUCGCUGAAGAUGGCCUCGCGUCUGAUUAGAUAGUUGGCGGGGUAACGGCCCACCAAAGUCGACGAUCAGUAGCCGGACUGAGAGGUUGACCGGCCACAUUGGGACUGAGAUACGGCCCAGACUCCUACGGGAGGCAGCAGUGGGGAAUAUUGGGCAAUGGACGCAAGUCUGACCCAGCAACG
RNAcentral lists this ribosomal RNA (390 nucleotides) under uncultured bacterium. RNAcentral describes it as "bacterial SSU rRNA". It matches the Rfam family "Bacterial small subunit ribosomal RNA", at positions 28 to 396 of the family's 1533-position model. The record is from RNAcentral.